GACGAACCGAGCGAACGUUGUUCGGAAUCACUGGGCUUAAAGGGCGCGUAGGCGGGCGGCCGCGUCCGGGGUGAAAUCCCACGGCUCAACCGUGGAACGGCCCCGGGUACGGGCGGCCUCGAGGGGGGUAGGGGCGUGCGGAACUGUGCGUGGAGCGGUGAAAUGCGUUGAUAUGCACAGGAACUCCGGUGGCGAAGGCGGCACGCUGGGCCCUCCCUGACGCUGAGGCGCGAAAGCCAGGGGAGCGAACGGG
Molecule: ribosomal RNA, 253 nt
Filed under: uncultured bacterium
Lineage: Bacteria
Description: partial 16S ribosomal RNA
Rfam family: Bacterial small subunit ribosomal RNA
Source: RNAcentral